This 245-nucleotide ribosomal RNA is filed under the name uncultured bacterium. RNAcentral's name for it is "partial 16S ribosomal RNA". It matches the Rfam family "Bacterial small subunit ribosomal RNA", at positions 524 to 768 of the family's 1533-position model. The record is from RNAcentral.
UACGUAGGGGGCGAGCGUUAUCCGGAAUUAUUGGGCGUAAAGGGCACGCAGGCGGUCCUGCACGUGCAGGGUGACAGCUCCUGGCUUAACCAGGAGAGGGCCUUCCAAACAACAGGACUUGAGAGCGAGAGAGGGAGACGGAACUCCAGGUGGAGCAGUGAAAUGCGUAGAGCUCUGGAAGAACACCAACGGCGAAGGCAGUCUCCUGGCUCGUCUCUGACGCUCAGGUGCGAAAGCUAGGGGAG